This 254-nucleotide ribosomal RNA is filed under the name uncultured bacterium. Its description in RNAcentral is "partial 16S ribosomal RNA". It matches the Rfam family "Bacterial small subunit ribosomal RNA", at positions 524 to 776 of the family's 1533-position model. The record is from RNAcentral.
UACGUAGGGUGCAAGCGUUGUCCGGAAUUAUUGGGCGUAAAGAGCUCGUAGGCGGUUUGUCGCGUCUGCUGUGAAAACUGGAGGCUCAACCUCCAGCCUGCAGUGGGUACGGGCAAACUAGAGUGCGGUAGGGGGAGAUUGGAAUUCCUGGUGUAGCGGUGGAAUGCGCAGAUAUCAGGAGGAACACCGAUGGCGAAGGCAGAUCUCUGGGCCGUAACUGACGCUGAGGAGCGAAAGCGUGGGGAGCGAACAGG